UCCCUGAUAGCUCAGUUGGUAAAGAAUCUGCCUGCAAUGCAGGAGACCCCGGUUCGAUUCCUGAGUCAGGAA
Transfer RNA from Ovis aries (sheep), 72 nucleotides. It matches the Rfam family "tRNA". From Rfam's summary of the family: Transfer RNA (tRNA) molecules are approximately 80 nucleotides in length. NCBI's taxonomy places the organism in Eukaryota, Metazoa, Chordata, Mammalia, Artiodactyla, Bovidae. The record is from Rfam.